RNAcentral lists this long non-coding RNA (271 nucleotides) under Hordeum vulgare. RNAcentral describes it as "long non-coding RNA (HVUL_LNC006678)". The record is from RNAcentral. Lineage: Eukaryota; Viridiplantae; Streptophyta; Magnoliopsida; Poales; Poaceae.
GUCGGGCGACCUUGCUGGAUUACUUUUACCUUUGACGAGAUAUCUUGUGCAUCGGGAUUCCGAUGAUGCUUUGGGUAAUCUCAGAGUUGAGGUUUUCCACUAAGGAGUCCGACGAGAUCGCGAGCUUCGUCAUUGAGGAUUUCUAUGCGGCUUGUGGUAAUUUGUGAUGGACUAGUUGGAGCACCCCUGCAGGGUUAAAUCUUUCGGAAAGCCAUGCCCGCGGUUAUGUGGCAACGUGGAAACUUUGUUUAACACUGGUUCUAGAUAACUU